GGUCGGCUUAGCUCGGCGUGGGCAAGUGUUAGGAGAUCUACGGGGAGAGCGGGGAGCUGCGCCCGGCGGGAGGAUCCGCCAGACCCCCAUCGGCAGCCUCCGGAGCGGGGCUGGGGGCAGGCCAGAUCUGGCGGAUAGCUGUUAUGAGGACUUUGCUGACUUCAGAAAGCUGAGUGUAACAAACACCAACAGACUUCAGUGAAAGGAAAUAUUAUCCCUCCAAGAAACUCAUACACAGACGACUUUUGGUAGCUUUAAAUUAACCUGUUGCUCACCUGCAAAGACACAGCUAUUGUUUCUUUCAGCACACAUGGAAGAAGGCAACAAACUUUGUAACCCUGGCUAAUAAGACUGUGGCUUUCUUAUCAAAAGUAGGAGGUAGGCCAAUUACAAGAGGAUUAUUUUAUACUUAGCCUCCAGGACUUUAACUCUGGCCUGAACACUGGACAUAAAUAGAAGCCAAUUUUAAUGACCUGAGAUUUUGCUACCUGUGCUUUAUUAUUGUUAUCAGUUCUUUAACACUUUGGUAC
RNAcentral lists this long non-coding RNA (530 nucleotides) under Buteo japonicus. Its description in RNAcentral is "lncRNA (ENSBJAG00000005893.1)". The record is from RNAcentral. Lineage: Eukaryota; Metazoa; Chordata; Aves; Accipitriformes; Accipitridae.